RNAcentral lists this non-coding RNA (205 nucleotides) under Chloracidobacterium. The record is from RNAcentral. Lineage: Bacteria; Pseudomonadati; Acidobacteriota; Blastocatellia; Chloracidobacteriales; Chloracidobacteriaceae. RNAcentral also lists the same sequence under 1 other name.
AAGGUUCUUUUGGUUUUGGGUGCCCGUUGCUUCAAGCAAGCGAACGGGAUAAUAGGGAAGCGGGUGCAAAUCCCGCACGGUCCCGCCACUGUGACGCCAACAUCAGGUUUCGCGCCAUUUCCUCAGUGAGCCACUGCGCACCAGCGUGGGAAGGCGCGGCGCGAAACGGCGAAGUCAGGAGACCUGCCCAAAGCCACGCGCACGG